Non-coding RNA from Pelobates cultripes (western spadefoot toad), 747 nucleotides. Lineage: Eukaryota; Metazoa; Chordata; Amphibia; Anura; Pelobatidae. The record is from the annotation of a GenBank genome assembly.
CAGUGGUGACGGCUGGGGGAAUGACUCUUCUAGAUGGUGGUAGCUCCGGCCAGUGACUAGGCAGUGACUAGAAGUGUCCCUACUUUGUCUCUCUAUAUCUCUUGCCUUGGUUGAAAUUUAAGUGAAAUUCCAACACCGUCAAAAUGAGUAUGUCAUAAAGAUUCUGCAAACUGAAAUACUCAAUUUGCAGAGGAAGGUGCCGCUUUAAAAAAAUAAAUCAUGAAUUCAUGAUUGGUGGCCAGGGGGAGUUCUCAUAUUUCUCAAUAUGGGUAUUGGGCUAGUUUUCCCACAGCUCCAGAAUUGGCAGUUUAGAUAAUAUGCCCCUGCAAAGUGUCAAUCACAGUGUUACUCUCCAUUUGUAGGUUGAGGGAGGAGCCUAUAACUGCGCUGUCAUAAUGAAGUCACACAUUAAGAAUAAACCAGGCACUGUAAGGGCAUUUCCUCUGUAACAGCUCUAUAGUAUAUAUCAGAAAGACACUACGUCAGUAUGACUAUGUACACUAGAGGGCAGUAUUUCCCUCUCUCUAUGAACACACUCCAUUCACAAAGUAUCACAGAAUACAAUAAUGUAACACUGACUCCCAGUAAACUGAUACCAGUGUUAACCUGUGUAACCUAUAUAUUCUAAAACUAAUCCAUAAUGUUUUAACACCUAGAUGUAACCUGCCAGCUGCUCAGUGGGAUGUUGGCAUCUCAGCCACAUCCAAAUAUUCGGAGAUUAGAAAGUAGAGAGAUAUUUAAAGACGC